Marasmius tenuissimus is the source of this 100-nucleotide non-coding RNA. The record is from the annotation of a GenBank genome assembly. NCBI's taxonomy places the organism in Eukaryota, Fungi, Basidiomycota, Agaricomycetes, Agaricales, Marasmiaceae.
GGCCGGGGGCGGUGUGGUGUAGUGGCAUCAUCACGCUGGCUCCGAGCGCUAGACUCUGUGGUUUCCCAGAGGUCUGGUGUUCGAGCCCCGUCCCGGGCCA